Fundulus heteroclitus (mummichog) is the source of this 536-nucleotide non-coding RNA. The record is from the annotation of a RefSeq genome assembly. Lineage: Eukaryota; Metazoa; Chordata; Actinopteri; Cyprinodontiformes; Fundulidae.
AUGGUGACUCUGACAGUAGUAAACUGCUGCAUCUUCAGCCUGAACUCCACUGAUGGUCAAAUGGAAAGAUGCUUGCAGAGAGUGCAGGAGGUUUUUGUACGGCCUCUUAAUGACUUUGUAUCACUGUGGUACACGUUUGGUGGAGGAACCAAACUCAUCCAUCACUCUGGCCCCAAGGUCAGACCCUCAGUCUCUCUGCUGACUCCCUCCUCUGAGCAGCUCUCCAGGGGCUCGGCCACGCUGGUCUGCCUGCUGAGCGGCUACUCCCCUCAGGGAGCCGUUGUGAGCUGGGAGGUGGACGGUACCGAGGUGAGAGAGGGGGUCCUGACCAGCCCAGAGGAGGAGAAGAGCGGACGUUACAGCAGCAGCAGCACCUUAAGCCUGAGCCAGGAGACCUGGAUGAAAGGAGAGAUGUACUCGUGCAGGGUCCUCCAUCACGACCACACCACGGCCCAGACCAUCCAAAGGAGCCGCUGUGAGGGCUAGAGAGGCUGAUGAAGCCCAGGACAGGAGUUCUGGGAGGGAGAGCAGGAGGA